Molecule: long non-coding RNA, 517 nt
Filed under: Struthio camelus australis
Lineage: Eukaryota; Metazoa; Chordata; Aves; Struthioniformes; Struthionidae
Description: lncRNA (ENSSCUG00000013373.1)
Source: RNAcentral
UUUCAGAAUUACGAACCGUGUGUUCAAAAGUUUGAGAAAACGCCUAGAGCUGUGAAUAGGUGCCAGAGAAAUUAAUUAUGAUAAUAAAGCUUCUGGGAAGAGGUGGAAAUGCUGGAAUGAUCAAAUCAUCUGUAAUUAUGAGGAACAUUUUUUUUUUCUCCUUAGUAACACAGAGCUUCAUGGAAUGCGUGUGUUGCCUGCAGAAAUGUUAGGGGCCAGGAUGUCAUUCUUUCAGAAACAAAACAGACAAGAACUGAAAGACCAAAAAAAGGAAGAGAAGGAAAAUCAAAGAAAAGCCAAAGCAAACAAAUACCUCACAGGUCACAAUGGAGGAGACAGAGCUUUGAAAAGAAGUCCAGGGAAAUUCCCUGAGAAGACUCACUCUGCCCAGCCUACAGAGUUGGGGGCAGGUCCCACCUCUCCCUCGUACCCUCCAUCCCUGCCCACUGGGAGCCAGCUCUAUGCUGCUGCAGAAGAAUCAGGCACCCGGGGGAAAGAAGAGAGAUUAAAAUUUUGA